UACGUAGGGUCCGAGCGUUGUCCGGAAUUACUGGGCGUAAAGAGCUCGUAGGUGGUUUGUCGCGUUGUCCGUGAAAACUCACAGCUCAACUGUGGGCGUGCGGGCGAUACGGGCAGACUGGAGUACUGCAGGGGAGACUGGAAUUCCUGGUGUAGCGGUGGAAUGCGCAGAUAUCAGGAGGAACACCGGUGGCGAAGGCGGGUCUCUGGGCCGAUACUGACGCUGAGGAGCGAAAGCGUGGGGAGCGAACAGG
This 253-nucleotide ribosomal RNA is filed under the name uncultured bacterium. RNAcentral's name for it is "partial 16S ribosomal RNA". It matches the Rfam family "Bacterial small subunit ribosomal RNA", at positions 524 to 776 of the family's 1533-position model. The record is from RNAcentral.